UCCUCCAGAAUAUCUUAACGAGGCAGGCUUCCUAAUCGGAUUCACAUUUUUAAAAGUCCACCGCACCCGAUUGGUUCCAAAGAAUGCUUUUUUUGGGGGGGGGGAUAUGUCAAAUCAGCUCAAGCAGCGAUCUUGCUCAGAGCGGAGACCAGGAAGAGAGGAUGUGAGGAAAAUGACUUUGAAGGGAUGAAAAAAACCACACACACUUUAUUGUGCAUCUUUCAAAUACAGAACUUAAAAAUAACGACUGCAACCACGAAGUUAAUUCCCGUAGAGCUUUUCAAUGAUGGGAAAAAUUUUCUCCAUUUGCUGUGCCAAUUGUAUCCUUUUACAAGGGAAAAUCCUCAAGAAAACCUGUCUGUAAAAUGUCAAGAUGGAAUUUUCGUAUUUUGUGUCGAUUUAAGCAUAGGGAGUGCCUAAUCAAAUCUUACCAUCUCUCUCUCUCUCUCUCUCUCUCUCUCUCUCUCGUUCUCUUCCUCUUCCUCUAAAAUCUCCUGCCUUAUAAUGUGGCCAUUUGGUAAAUACAUUUGGGCUCCCCUUCAGUCUUUUUCCAGUCUCUCAGAGGUAACAUCCACAAAUCCACGGAUGGCCUUAUGCCCCUCCCACUCUGGGUGGACCUUAAGAAACCAAUCCCUCUUUUAUCCUUUGAGGUUGGUAGCCUGGCUUCUUCUCAUUGAUGAGAAGAUGAGACCAAAGCUGUUGAUUGCAAUUAAAGGAGAAGGUUGGACGAAAGGACCUGUGAAAAAGUGCCCAGCUGCAAAAAAGGACACUGAGGAAGAAUUUCAGAUAGAAGCUCCCCAAAUGGAUAAUGGUCCAAUCACUGUCAAGAAGGCCAAGCUCAGGAAGCUGAAAAUUGCUCGCCAGCAUUUACCCCAGAGUUACGAGUACGAUCCUUACGUUUCCUGCCUAGCGGGACUCUACAGCUGUCGAUGGGAACGGUACGAGCAGAAAAGGAUCAAGCCAGGGCAGUGCUGCUGCGGCAUCGGUGAGUGUGCAUUUUUUGCACUGCUCCUUUUCGCCUUCUUCCUCUGGUUCAUCUUUACAUACAUGUGGGGACAACUGAAAAAUGACUAUAACGCCUUCGACAGAUACAACUUUGCCAAUUAUGGAUUCUGGUUUCAUUGGUCCAUAUUGCUCCUGGUUUUGGCUGCCCUGAUUUUAUCCUACCUCUUGUUCUUACUGACUUACAAAUAAAAAGCCUUUUCACAGUGAAGUUAUGAACCGUAACUUCCAAAAGAUCUCCUGGAUGGAGAAUGAGUGCAGGGAAAUCGCCCCAGAGAGAGACCACAGCUGCAAUACAAGGAGACCUGCAAGUGGGAUCUGAAGGCCCUAGGAAUGGACCUCAAGAGAUGGGAAACCUUGACCUCUGAGUGUUCAGCCUGGAGGCAGGCGUUGCAUCACGGCCUCUCCCAAUUUGAAGAGACCCUUGUCCAGCAGGCCAAGGCUAAGAGGCAGUCCCCAAAGCAGCAAAAUCAGGGAGCUGGACAGGGGACAGAUUGGAUGGUCACCCUUGAAUUGGCCUUCUCAGCCACACUAGACGUUGUUCCAGGGCCUCUAUUCAGAGCAUGUUACCAUCGUCUCUUGAGACUAAAGGUUUUUUUUAGUUUAGAAAGUUUCCCCCUGCUUUCUUAAGCCACCUGAGCUUCCUCUACUGCCAUAUCACGGUGUCUGGAGGGGUGUGGCAUGUGGAAUUAAUCACCUCCAGGGCUCUAUAGCAUGCUUCUUGAGGAUGCUUUUCAAACAUAUUCCUCAAGUAGUGAAAUACAGUGGUGCCUUGCUUAACGAGUGCCCCGUUUAACAACGAAUCUGCAUAGUGAUGAGGUUUUUGUGAUCGCAAAAGCGAUCGCAUUGCGAUGUUUUAGAUGGCCAAAAAUCGCUUUGCGAUGAUCAGUAAGCAUUUCGCUUACCUAUUUCCGCAUAGCGAUGUUUUAAAAACAGCUGAUCGGCGGUUCCAAAAUGGCCACUGGAAAAAUGGCCGCCCACAGUGAAAAUGGCGGCCGGGCAGUGAAAAUGGCGGCCGGAUGGAGGAUUUCCGCAUAGCGGUUAGUUUUUUCCCCAUAGGAAUGCAUUAAACAUGUUUUAAUGCGUUCCUAUGGGUUUUUUUCCCUGCAUAGUGAUGAAUCUGGAUAGCGAUGAUUUUUUUGGCAUGGAUUAUCAUCGCUAUGUGGGGCACCACUGUACGUCAAUCGUAGCA
RNAcentral lists this long non-coding RNA (2194 nucleotides) under Pogona vitticeps (central bearded dragon). RNAcentral's name for it is "lncRNA (ENSPVIG00000024062.1)". Lineage: Eukaryota; Metazoa; Chordata; Lepidosauria; Squamata; Agamidae. The record is from RNAcentral.